GGGGAUGUAGCUCAGUUGGGAGAGCGCCGGCUUUGCAAGCCGGAGGUCGUCGGUUCGAUCCCGAUCAUCUCCACCA
RNAcentral lists this transfer RNA (76 nucleotides) under Clostridiaceae bacterium. RNAcentral's name for it is "tRNA-Ala". It matches the Rfam family "tRNA". Rfam says of the family: Transfer RNA (tRNA) molecules are approximately 80 nucleotides in length. Lineage: Bacteria; Bacillati; Bacillota; Clostridia; Eubacteriales; Clostridiaceae. RNAcentral also lists the same sequence under 4 other names. The record is from RNAcentral.